Molecule: long non-coding RNA, 288 nt
Filed under: Arachis ipaensis
Lineage: Eukaryota; Viridiplantae; Streptophyta; Magnoliopsida; Fabales; Fabaceae
Description: long non-coding RNA (AIPA_LNC001694)
Source: RNAcentral
AGAACUUCAAAGUCAUAACCAAUACAACAACUACAACGAACAACACCACUAUGCCUAAGAAUUGUAUCAUACAUUUUUGGGUCCUCACUUCAGCUUCCAAUUUUUCAAUCCUCCAGGCUAAAUUGACUCUCACUUGCUCAUUGUCAACUACAGUUGCAUCCACUCUUCCUUCAUGUUCCUCUUCUUCUUCUACAUCAUCAGCCCAGAGAAAAAAUCCACACCAUGUUUUUUUCCUAGUCUGAAUAUGAGAUAUGAUAAGAAGUAAAGAACAGAAAAUCACUAAACAAU